Molecule: ribosomal RNA, 99 nt
Filed under: Curtuteria australis
Lineage: Eukaryota; Metazoa; Platyhelminthes; Trematoda; Plagiorchiida; Himasthlidae
Also listed under: 1 other name
Description: partial 5.8S ribosomal RNA
Rfam family: 5.8S ribosomal RNA
About the family: 5.8S ribosomal RNA (5.8S rRNA) is a component of the large subunit of the eukaryotic ribosome. It is transcribed by RNA polymerase I as part of the 45S precursor that also contains 18S and 28S rRNA.
Source: RNAcentral
UACAACUCUGAGCGGUGGAUCACUCGGCUCGUGUGUCGAUGAAGAGCGCAGCCAACUGUGUGAAUUAAUGUAAACUGCAUACUGCUUUGAACAUCGACA